GCAAGUCGAACGGUAACAGGUCUUCGGAUGCUGACGAGUGGCGCACGGGUGCGUAACGCGUAUACAACCUGCCUUGAACAAAGGGAUAGCCCAUGGAAACGUGGAUUAAUACCUUAUAAUAUAUGACUGUGGCAUCACAGACAUAUCAAAGAUUUAUCGGUUCAAGAGGGGUAUGCGUGACAUUAGCGAGUGGGUGAGGUAACGGAGCACCAAGGCUACGAUGUCUAGGGGUUCUGAGAGGAUGAGC
This 247-nucleotide ribosomal RNA is filed under the name uncultured bacterium. RNAcentral describes it as "partial 16S ribosomal RNA". It matches the Rfam family "Bacterial small subunit ribosomal RNA", at positions 57 to 305 of the family's 1533-position model. The record is from RNAcentral.